Molecule: ribosomal RNA, 526 nt
Filed under: Burkholderia cenocepacia
Lineage: Bacteria; Pseudomonadati; Pseudomonadota; Betaproteobacteria; Burkholderiales; Burkholderiaceae
Description: bacterial SSU rRNA
Rfam family: Bacterial small subunit ribosomal RNA
Source: RNAcentral
GGCAGCAGUGGGGAAUUUUGGACAAUGGGCGAAAGCCUGAUCCAGCAAUGCCGCGUGUGUGAAGAAGGCCUUCGGGUUGUAAAGCACUUUUGUCCGGAAAGAAAUCCUUGGCUCUAAUACAGUCGGGGGAUGACGGUACCGGAAGAAUAAGCACCGGCUAACUACGUGCCAGCAGCCGCGGUAAUACGUAGGGUGCGAGCGUUAAUCGGAAUUACUGGGCGUAAAGCGUGCGCAGGCGGUUUGCUAAGACCGAUGUGAAAUCCCCGGGCUCAACCUGGGAACUGCAUUGGUGACUGGCAGGCUAGAGUAUGGCAGAGGGGGGUAGAAUUCCACGUGUAGCAGUGAAAUGCGUAGAGAUGUGGAGGAAUACCGAUGGCGAAGGCAGCCCCCUGGGCCAAUACUGACGCUCAUGCACGAAAGCGUGGGGAGCAAACAGGAUUAGAUACCCUGGUAGUCCACGCCCUAAACGAUGUCAACUAGUUGUUGGGGAUUCAUUUCCUUAGUAACGUAGCUAACGCGUGAAGUG